CAUUUGUAUUUUUAUUGAUACACUACUGUAAAAGCCUAAAUGCAAGGUAUUCCGUUUGAAUAAAUUCAAAAAGCACUGCAGUCUUAAAUUACAAAAUGAUUUUAAAAUACAAAAUUUACAUGAAAUGACAAUACAAGGUUCCUGUAAACAUCAGCUAAAACCUGUAUUUCCCUUUUCUUUUACAAAACAUAUAUUUAUAGAUAUAUGUACGCAACUGUUAGGAAUGACAUCCAUUUCAAAGUAUCAAAAAUAGAGUUCUAAUGUCAGUCUGUGUUGCUUUUUACCAGUAUGUAAAAUGGGAACAUAUUGUUCGAUCUUUGGUUUUACAGAAGUGGAUGGCAGAGAGCGAACGGUUACUGAAUUUAAUGCUGCUCUUGUUUCUGGACUCAUGUGCCUCAUUCACACUAUAGGGCCAAACUGCGCCAAGCCGAGCUGUACUGGGCUGCCCUGUUUACGCAUCUACAUAGUGCUGGAACUGUGCUGGAAAGGACCAUGUGAAAAUGAAACAUCCAAGCCAGCACAGUACGGUUCUGAUCAGCUCUAUACUGUGAAUUAGGUAACAGUCUCACAAGCAGCACCAGAGCCAGCCCUUCCUCUUGUAACUAACGUCCUGCUGUCCAAAAUGUAUAUUCUCAAGUCAAUUAUUAACCCAGAAGAGCAUACAGACAACAAACCAGUAAUUCAUAUUCAACACAUGAGUUAAGGCCUUCCUAUAGUUUAAAUAAACAAAUAGUGACAUUCUCUCCUCACUAUUUGAAAAGGUUUUACACAUAAAACAAAAGCCAUGAGAUAUUAUUAUAAACAAACCAGUUAUUUUGUACUUGAUGCCAAAUAUCACGUUGUCAUGAUGCUUUCGUCAUGGUUUGCAUAGUAGCCUAAUGCAUCUGUGUGCUUGUAUUGUACAGAACUGAAAUUCAUUAUUAAAAAACACUUAUCUACAGUUUAUUGGGUACAAACGCACACAUCCACACACACACACUGAAUAUAAUCUACUAAGACGCUUGCACUGUGUCCUUUACAAGGCAGAUUCACUGACUGGCCCUCUGGUAUGCAGGACUAAUAAGUAUUGUGCUGAUACUCUAGAAGGCUGCGUUUAUAUAGGCAGCCCAAUUCUGAUAUUUGUUCCACUAAUUGGUUCUUUGACCAAUCACAUAACUUUAUCAGAGCUGAUCUGAUUAGUGAGAAAAAUAUCAGAAUUGGACUACCUGUGUAAACAGAGCCUUGAAGUAACAGAACCAAGCAUCUCUGCUGCAUCUACAACUAUAGGCAUCAAGGUUCUUAAAAAAAAAUGUUUUAAAUGUUUUUUAAAGGCAUCAGGCAGGUUUUUUUGUGUAUAGCAGAAUUAUUUUCUAUUUCUGAUUGGACUUGGACAGUUGUCAUCAGCAACAUCCUCUCAGAGAAAAAAAAUAUACAUGCAAGAAUAUACAUAUAUCAUUGUCCAAUCACAGAGAACAUGUUAAGGCAAUAGGAGUUGUUCCUACCCAGACCAAUCAACAUGUUAUAUUACAGCAUGACUAUGUAAUGUAUGGCAUACAUACAUACAUCUAUCCAGCAUUCAGAAUCACAUUCUGUAAACAUCCUUAUGAUGAUGUUAGACUGGAAUAUGUUGCUUUUUAACACUCAGCUUUGACAUUUUCUUUGGACUUUUUGGUGUUGUAAUUCUCAGGCAAACUGAAAAUCUUUUUAUUAUUGCUAUCAAUAUUCCAUACAUUUGCAGUCUGUAUAUCUCCCCAAGGAGAAAGAUUGACAAAUACAUAUUUUUGUUAAGGUACCAUCCUGAAGACAAAAUGAUCAUGUGUCGUGAUUGUUGUGAUGUGCAACACACAGGGGGCGUGGAAGAACCAACAACAUACAAAAAUGGAAGUUGUUUUUUAAAACUAACUUAACCUUGUUCGUCAGGGGUGGUGGAGGGGGGGGCUAUACAUAAAUACAGUAUAUAUAAAGGACUAUAUAUAAAAUACUUUUAUCAACAGUUUAAAUCUACAGUUUUCAAUGUGUUAUAUUAUUGCCAAUAGUAUAUGGAUUGAAGCUGCUUUACCCUCAGAAGGUAUGGUUGUUACAAAGUGGAAGGCACACAAGAGUCUCUGGGCCCAGUUUUUCAAAAGUUAUCUGAUCGGAUUUCUGCAAUCAGAUAAAAUGACAUGUUAGAAUUGGGGUUUUCAAAAGAAAACAAAAUUAUUCUGAUCCUCCAGAUUUGGUAAUCCAAUCUGACCAUUAAAAUCGGGAUUAAAUGUCGUUUUUGCAUUUUUUUUUUACUCAAAAAAGGUAGUGAUGAUGAUGGUUUUGAUGCCUAAAAUCUGGAUUAUUUUGAUCCCACUGGAAGGGUGUAUUCAGGGUGGAUUUAGAAAGUAUGGAUUAUCUUGAUCCCACUGGAAGGGUGUAUUCAGGGUGGAUUUAGAAAGUAUAGAUUAUCUUGAUCCCACUGGAAGGGUGUAUUCAGGGUGGAUUUAGAAUGUAUGGAUUAUCUUGAUCCCAC
RNAcentral lists this long non-coding RNA (2476 nucleotides) under Salmo salar (Atlantic salmon). Its description in RNAcentral is "lncRNA (ENSSSAG00000115682.1)". Lineage: Eukaryota; Metazoa; Chordata; Actinopteri; Salmoniformes; Salmonidae. The record is from RNAcentral.